CAUGGGGUGGGAGUGGGGUAGAGUUCUAAGAAGGGUAGAAAAAGAGAACCAGCAUGUUUGGGCAUGGCAUUUAGUACUUAGAACCACCCUGUGAGGUGGAUGUUUUUAUCCCCACUUUACAGAUGAGAAAACAGAGACUGUUUCUCUGACUGAGUCUGAGUUAAGUGGCUUGUGAGAGGCAGAAUCCGAAUUAGGACUCAGGUAUACGUGACUCCAAAGCUCUCCUCGUUCUGUCCCAUGAUUAAACUUGCCCUCAUUUGGGCUCCAGAGAUAGGUCAUAAUACAUUAUUUGGCCCCAUUAGACUUUGAGCUCCUCAGCAGCCAAUCUCAUUCUUAUCUGUGUUCAUGGCAUUUCCAUUGCAUCGGACACCUAGGUACUCGGUCGCUAGAGGUGGAACAAGUGAGAGAAUGAAUGAAGGAUGCCCUGUGAUUUGCAUAUUGUAACAAACACUGUCUAUUUCAGAGUUAUUAAGUAAAAUCACCUGUCACUUGUCCCUAAUGAUAAUUUGUAUCUUUUCUGUUUGUUUUUUUCUCCAAAGUCGAGAGGCACGAUGAUUAGGUGUCCAACUAUAAUUUUGGUGCUCAGAGAGACAAUGAUUAAAUCUGCCAGGCUACCAGCGAUGCUGACAUGUUUUGCACAACUGGUGUUUGAGCAGAGAUCGACAUUGAUUUGAUGUCGCCAGGUCAUCCUCUGGCAAGACCCAAGACAUUUUGUGUGCCCUUAAUAGGAAUUUAAGCUUGCUUUAGCCCACGUCAUUUGUAAUCGUCAGAACGACAUGAACGUGGACAUAUUGAGAUGCAUGGCCCCACUGUGCAUGAAGUCUGAAGGUCGUCAGAAGAGAGGAGGAGUUGAGGACAUCGGGGACACUCCUGUACCUGAAGAGGAUUCUGAUAGAGCUCAAGCAUCAGGUGAGGAGGCGUGGCAUCGUUACAGCCUGAGAAAGGAAUUGGAAACAGUGGCCUGGAGAAAGAGAGGAUAAUGAAUAGGUUGCAGUUCUAAAGAGGCAUCAGAAUGCCAGGCCUGCCGUCGUCAACCCCGUGGUACACCCCAAAAUAAAAGAAAAUGCGUUCUUGGUCUCCCUCCUCCA
RNAcentral lists this long non-coding RNA (1088 nucleotides) under Felis catus (domestic cat). RNAcentral describes it as "lncRNA (ENSFCAG00000041403.2)". Lineage: Eukaryota; Metazoa; Chordata; Mammalia; Carnivora; Felidae. The record is from RNAcentral.